UACGUAGGGGGCAAGCGUUACUCGGAAUUACUGGGCGUAAAGGGUGUGUAGGCGGCCGAGCAAGUCGAAGAUGAAAUCCCAGGGCUCAACCCUGGAAUUGUCUUCGAUACUGCUUGGCUUGAGGGUAGUGGAGGAGAGCGGAAUUCCCGGUGGAGCGGUGAAAUGCGUAGAUAUCGGGAGGAACACCAGAGGCGAAGGCGGCUCUCUAUGCUACUCCUGACGCUGAGGCACGAAAGCUAGGGGAGCAAACGGG
Molecule: ribosomal RNA, 253 nt
Filed under: uncultured bacterium
Lineage: Bacteria
Description: partial 16S ribosomal RNA
Rfam family: Bacterial small subunit ribosomal RNA
Source: RNAcentral